This 260-nucleotide ribosomal RNA is filed under the name Tolypothrix tenuis CG21. RNAcentral's name for it is "partial 16S ribosomal RNA". It matches the Rfam family "Bacterial small subunit ribosomal RNA", at positions 167 to 444 of the family's 1533-position model. Lineage: Bacteria; Bacillati; Cyanobacteriota; Cyanophyceae; Nostocales; Tolypothrichaceae. The record is from RNAcentral.
UACCGGAUGUGCCGAAAGGUGAAAGAUUUAUUGCCUGAAGAUGAGCUCGCGUCUGUUUAGCUAGUAGGUGUGGUAAGAGCGCACCUAGGCGACGAUCAGUAGCUGGUCUGAAAGGCUGAUCAGCCACACUGGGACUGAGACACGGCCCAAACUCCUACGGGAGGCAGCAGUGGGGAAUUUUCCGCAAUGGGCGAAAGCCUGACGGAGCAAUACCGCGUGAGGGAGGAAGGCUCUUGGGUUGUAAACCUCUUUUCUCAGGG